RNAcentral lists this ribosomal RNA (497 nucleotides) under uncultured bacterium. RNAcentral's name for it is "partial 16S ribosomal RNA". It matches the Rfam family "Bacterial small subunit ribosomal RNA", at positions 28 to 507 of the family's 1533-position model. The record is from RNAcentral.
GAUGAACGCUGGCGGCGUGCCUAAUACAUGCAAGUCGAGCGAACAGACGAGGAGCUUGCUCCUCUGACGUUAGCGGCGGACGGGUGAGUAACACGUGGAUAACCUACCUAUAAGACUGGGAUAACUUCGGGAAACCGGAGCUAAUACCGGAUAAUAUAUUGAACCGCAUGGUUCAAUAGUGAAAGACGGUUUUGCUGUCACUUAUAGAUGGAUCCGCGCCGCAUUAGCUAGUUGGUAAGGUAACGGCUUACCAAGGCAUCGAUGCGUAGCCGACCUGAGAGGGUGAUCGGCCACACUGGAACUGAGACACGGUCCAGACUCCUACGGGAGGCAGCAGUAGGGAAUCUUCCGCAAUGGGCGAAAGCCUGACGGAGCAACGCCGCGUGAGUGAUGAAGGUCUUCGGAUCGUAAAACUCUGUUAUUAGGGAAGAACAAAUGUGUAAGUAACUAUGCCCGUCUUGACGGUACCUAAUCAGAAAGCAACGGCUAACUACGUG